CCUACGGGUGGCAGCAGUGAGGAAUAUUGGUCAAUGGACGAGAGUCUGAACCAGCCAAGUAGCGUGAAGGAUGACUGCCCUAUGGGUUGUAAACUUCUUUUAUAUGGGAAUAAAAUGUUCCACGUGUGGGAUUUUGUAUGUACCAUAUGAAUAAGGAUCGGCUAACUCCGUGCCCGCAGCCGCGGUAAUACGGGGGAUCCGCGCGUUAUCCGGAUUUAUUGGGUUUAAAGGGAGCGUAGGUGGAUUGUUAAGUCAGUUGUGAAAGUUUGCGGCUCAACCGUAAAAGUGCAGUUGAAACUGGCAGUCUGGAGGACAGUAGAGGUGGGCGGAAUGCGUGGUGUAGCGGUGAAAUGCUUAGAUAUCACGAAGAACUCGGAUUGCGAAGGCAGUUCACUGGACUGCAACUGACACUGAGGCUCGAAAGUGUGGGUAUCAAACAGGAUUAGAUACCCCGGUAGUC
Molecule: ribosomal RNA, 460 nt
Filed under: uncultured bacterium
Lineage: Bacteria
Description: partial 16S ribosomal RNA
Rfam family: Bacterial small subunit ribosomal RNA
Source: RNAcentral